GAUGAACGCUGGCGGCGUGCCUAAUACAUGCAAGUCGAGCGAACGGACGAGAAGCUUGCUUCUCUGAUGUUAGCGGCGGACGGGUGAGUAACACGUGGAUAACCUACCUAUAAGACUGGGAUAACUUCGGAAAACCGGAGCUAAUACCGGAUAAUAUUUUGAACCGCAUGGUUCAAAAGUGAAAGACGGUCUUGCUGUCACUUAUAGAUGGAUCCGCGCUGCAUUAGCUAGUUGGUAAGGUAACGGCUUACCAAGGCAACGAUGCAUAGCCGACCUGAGAGGUGAUUCGGCCCACCGUAACCUGAGCACCGGCCCGGACCCUCCCGGGGGGCGGCGUGGGGAAAUCUGCCGCAUGGGGGGAAACCCUACCGGGGCAACCCCCGUGGGGGAAGAAAGGUCUCCGGUUGUAAAAACUCUUUUUUUGGGGAAAAACAUAUUUGUAAGUAACUGUGCACUUCUGACGGUUACCAAAGAAGAAACCCCCGCUAAACUCGUG
Molecule: ribosomal RNA, 496 nt
Filed under: uncultured bacterium
Lineage: Bacteria
Description: partial 16S ribosomal RNA
Rfam family: Bacterial small subunit ribosomal RNA
Source: RNAcentral